Molecule: non-coding RNA, 492 nt
Organism: Chiloscyllium plagiosum (whitespotted bambooshark)
Lineage: Eukaryota; Metazoa; Chordata; Chondrichthyes; Orectolobiformes; Hemiscylliidae
Source: RefSeq, a predicted model, not a curated record
AACGGGACUACUGCGCAUGUAGCAGGUGCAUAUAUGUUGCUCCUCCAUCUUGAGAAACAGUUUCAUCCCCAAAAUACACUUUAAACAAAAUAAUACUGGCUGAUGUGUUAAUGGUGCAGCGGAUGGAGAAUGCAGUGGGGAGGAUUGAGGUCAGGGCAGUGAGGCAGCAGCUUGCUCGGUCUGUCAGUGCUGUCAAAGUCCAGCACUGACUCGCUGAUGGGAAACAAGCACAUGCUGGGGGAGUCGAAAAGCUGUCAGCUUUUUACAUUUUAAAAAAAAAUUGCACCGACAUUCACGAUUAAGACUGCUGGACCAAUCAAUUUAAGAAUGGAGCUGACCAAAACAUCCCUUUUCCUCAUCUCUUUAUGCUUCUGGAUUGAACUAGGUUUGUCCAGUGAUAAGUCUUCAAAGAAAGGAAAGUCAAAGAAGAAGCAACAUCUGUGCCCAUCUGAGCAGUCUGCUGAAGACCUUGCACGAGUACCUGCAAAUUCC